RNAcentral lists this ribosomal RNA (104 nucleotides) under uncultured bacterium. RNAcentral's name for it is "partial 16S ribosomal RNA". The record is from RNAcentral.
AAGGUCUUCGGGUUGUAAACUCCUGUCAUUUGGGAACAAGGCCCCGAAAUUAACUACUUCGGGGUUGAUAGUACCAGAAGAGGAAGAGACGGCUAACUCUGUGC